CUACGGGAUGCUCCAGUGGGGAAUUUUGGACAAUGGACGCAAGUCUGAUCCAGCAAUGCCGCGUGCAGGACGAAGGCCUUCGGGUUGUAAACUGCUUUUGUACGGAACGAAACGGUGAGCUCUAAUACAGUUUGCUAAUGACGGUACCGUAAGAAUAAGCACCGGCUAACUACGUGCCAGCAGCCGCGGUAAUACGUAGGGUGCGAGCGUUAAUCGGAAUUACUGGGCGUAAAGCGUGCGCAGGCGGUUAUAUAAGUCAGAUGUGAAAUCCCCGGGCUCAACCUGGGACCUGCAUUUGAGACUGUAUAGCUAGAGUACGGUAGAGGGGGAUGGAAUUCCGCGUGUAGCAGUGAAAUGCGUAGAUAUGCGGAGGAACACCGAUGGCGAAGGCAAUCCCCUGGACCUGUACUGACGCUCAUGCACGAAAGCGUGGGGAGCAAACAGGAUUAGAUACCCCCGUAGUC
Molecule: ribosomal RNA, 464 nt
Filed under: uncultured bacterium
Lineage: Bacteria
Description: partial 16S ribosomal RNA
Rfam family: Bacterial small subunit ribosomal RNA
Source: RNAcentral